AAGACAACUCUCAACAACGGAUAUCUUGGCUCCCGUAUCGAUGAAGAACGCAGCGAAAUGCGAUACGUAGUGUGAAUUGCAGAAUUCCGUGAACCAUCGAAUCUU
RNAcentral lists this ribosomal RNA (105 nucleotides) under Dictyochloropsis splendida. RNAcentral's name for it is "partial 5.8S ribosomal RNA". It matches the Rfam family "5.8S ribosomal RNA", at positions 1 to 100 of the family's 154-position model. Rfam says of the family: 5.8S ribosomal RNA (5.8S rRNA) is a component of the large subunit of the eukaryotic ribosome. The record is from RNAcentral. Lineage: Eukaryota; Viridiplantae; Chlorophyta; Trebouxiophyceae; Trebouxiales; Trebouxiaceae.